CCUACGGGUGGCAGCAGUGAGGAAUAUUGGUCAAUGGACGAGAGUCUGAACCAGCCAAGUAGCGUGAAGGAUGACUGCCCUAUGGGUUGUAAACUUCUUUUAUAUGGGAAUAAAAUGUUCCACGUGUGGGCUUUUGUAUGUACCCUAUGAAUAAGGAUCGGCUAACUCCGUGCCAGCAGCCGCGGUAAUCCGGAGGAUCCGAGCGUUAUCCGGAUUUAUUGGGUUUAAAGGGAGCGUAGGUGGGUUGUUAAGUCAGUUGUUAAAGUUUGCGGCUCAACCGUAAAAUUGCAGUUGAAACUGGCAGUCUGGAGUACAGUAGAGGUGGGCGGAAUUCGUGGUGUAGCGGUGAAAUGCUUAGAUAUCACGAAGAACUCCGAUUGCGAAGGCAGUUCACUGGACUGCAACUGACACUGAGGCUCGAAAGUGUGGGUAUCAAACAGGAUUAGAUACCCCUGUAGGC
Molecule: ribosomal RNA, 460 nt
Filed under: uncultured bacterium
Lineage: Bacteria
Description: partial 16S ribosomal RNA
Rfam family: Bacterial small subunit ribosomal RNA
Source: RNAcentral